RNAcentral lists this long non-coding RNA (12933 nucleotides) under Nicotiana tabacum (common tobacco). RNAcentral describes it as "long non-coding RNA (NTAB_LNC018379)". The record is from RNAcentral. Lineage: Eukaryota; Viridiplantae; Streptophyta; Magnoliopsida; Solanales; Solanaceae.
UUUAUUUCAUCUCCUGAAAGCUUCGGACGUCGUCGUUUAAUACCAAAUCCCCAGUGUAAUUCGUUUGAUUUUAAAAUUACACCUCCAUCCCCACGCCCUCUUCUAAUUUAACAACCCUAAAUUGAUUUUGAUGGUCAAGUUUAUAAAAUUGACUAUAAAGUUAUUGUAAAUGUUUUAAUGUUUGCAGAUCAAAAUUUUAAUUAUUUUUACUUUUAUUCUAAUUAAAAAACAUGCAUAAUUGUUUUUUUGACUUUGAUAAAUAUAAAAGAAGUGAUUCAGGAGUUAAAGGGACAAUGUGUCACCAAAAAGUUUGUCAAAUUAAUAAAUAAAAUCAGCUCAAAAAUGGAAUGGAGGAAGUAUAGGGAUGAAUAAUGAUGAUUUUAGUUUAGAUACUGUAUAACUAACAAAUAUCAAACGUUGAAAAACAUCUUUAUUUACUGAUAUCUAUUUUACAAAUAGCAAAUCACGAACUUGGAUGGAGAUGUUAAAUCUGAUAAUAAGCGUUGAUUUUAUCGGUUUGGAUUUCAUAUUAGUUUAGUUUGUUUUUUAAAUUUUCUUAGGGAUAUUGUGUGUGUUGCGUUAGUUUUUUGAAAAACUUAUUUCAGAAAAAGGAAAAUCCUUUUUGCCCAUCCCAUGAUUAAUUCUUCCUCUUGUUCUUCGGUUUAACUAGUGUCACACCUCAUUUCUCCGGGAGGAGUAGAAUUUUUUUUGAAUUUAAGUGACAUUAAUUAAAAUGAGAUUAUUUAUUGAUUCAGAGUCGUCACUUAGGAUAAUUUAUGGUAUCUCAAGUCACCAGUUUAUUUUAAAUCCCAAAUCGAGGAUAUUUGACUCUGUUUUUUAAAGUCUGCGAACAUAGAAGACCGGGUAAGGAAUUAUGUUAACCCGAGAGAAGGUGUUAGGCACUCCCGAGUUCCGUGGUUUUAGGACGGUCUCUCAACUAUUAAUAAUUGACCUAAUUAUCUGAUUUAUUACAUGUUUAGAGCCUAUGGUGCAUUUUAACUUUCUAACCGCUUUUAAUAUAAUUUUACUUGCUUUUUUAAGGAUUUAUGGAGUUUAUUUGAACAAAUCGCGAUGUUGCGCAUUCGUUUGUUUUUUUACAUAUUGUGAAUCGCGUCACAUGAAAUGCACCUGCGAUUUAUAGCAUGUUUAUUUUAUUAUUUUUUGAGGUGUGGUCGAAUCGCGUGAAACGCACACUCCAAUUAGGAUUUAUGUAUCGUGAUGUAAUGACCCGGCCGGUCGUUUUAAGAUUUAACGCUCUGAUCCCCUAUUAACUGCAUUCCCCGCAUUUGUUUCUGCUAUUGUAAGUUGCCGGGAGGAUUUAUUUGGAGUUUCAGAGAGUUUUGAGACACUUAGUCCCUAAAUGAGAGUUUAAGUUUUAGAAUUUGGACCGUAGUCGGAAUAGUGUGAAGACGGCCUCGAAAUGGAAUUCCAUUGGUUCCGUUAGCUCCGUUGGGCGAUUUCGGGCUUAGGGGCGUGUUCGGAUUGUGUUUUGGAGGUCCGUAGCUUAAUUAGACUUGAAAUGCCGAAAGUUGAAUUUUGUGAAGUUUCUGGCUCGAUAGUGAGAUUUUGAUCUAGGGGUCGGAAUGGAAUUCUGAGAGUUGGAGUAUCUUCGUAGUGUUGAGUGUGACGUGUGUGCAAAAUUUCAGGUCAUUCGGACGAGGUUUGAUAGACUUUUUGAUCAAAAGAGGAAUUCAGAAGAUUCUCGGAACCUUAGGCUUGAAUCCGAUGUUAAUUGGUUGAUUCGAUGUUGUUUGAUGUGUUUUGAAGAUUUGUAUAAGUUUGGAUAGUGGUAUAUGACUUGUUCGUGCUUUUGGUUGAGAUCUCGGGGGCCUCGGGAUGAUUUCAGAUGGUUAACGGGAAGUUUGGAGUUGGGACUUUGUAGCUGAAGCUGCUGAGUUUUUCUGUUAUAACCGCACCUGCAGUUAGGGGGCCGCAGGUGUAACGACCGCAGAUGCGAGAUUCAAGCCGCAGAUGCGGCCACAGGUGAAGGCAGCAGAAGACGCAGAAGCGGAAGGUGUGUCGCACCUGCGGGACCGUAGAUGCAGAGCCUGGGUCGCAGGUGCGGAGAAGGGGACUUAAGUGAAAAUUGCAGAAGCGGAAAUUGACCGCAGGUGCGAAAAACCUGGGUCAGAAAGUAUUAAAAGACUUCGUUCACGAAUUUGGGUUAUUUUUCCUAAUAUUUCAACGAGAAGAAGCUUUGGAGAGCGAAUUUCAAGGGAGAUUUUCUGAGGGAUCAUUGAGGUAAGGUCCUUGGUUCCUAAGCUCGUUAUUAUGGUGAAUUUUAUUGUUGUUAGCAUGAAAUUUAAGGGAGAAAUACGUGGUAAAUUGGGGGUUAGGGCUUGGUUAAUUGGAGAGCUUUAAGCGGUGAUUUGAGGGACCAUUUGGGGUCCGAUUUUGGUACUUUUGGUAUGACUGAACUCGUGAGAGUGUAAGGAUUCGGAAUUUGUAAAUUUUUUUCGAUUCCGAGACGUGGUCCCGGAGGCGUUUUGGUCAUUUUUCCUAAUUUCGCUUAUUAGCUUAGAAUUAAUUAGUGGAAUCAGUUACUUGAAGUUAUAUUUACAUUAUGCAAUUGAUUUGAAUAGAUUUGGACCAUUUGGAGUCAAGUACUCGUGGAAAGAGUGUGGUUUCGGGUUGAUUUUUGAGCCAGUUCGAGGUAAGUGACUUACCUAACCUUGUGUGGGGGAACUCCCCUUAGGAUUUGGUAUUGUUGAUAUAUGAAAUGCCUUGUACGCGAGUGACGAGUGCGUACAUGUGCUAAUUGUUGAAAAUCCUGCUUUCGUUAACUAAUUAUAACUGAGCUUUCUUUCUUGUUUAUGCUAUCUACAAUUUAAUCCUAUUGUUUGCUUAGGGAAGCAUGUUUAAUUGACUUAAUUGCCUUACUUGCUCAAACUGCUUUAUUUGAAUUUCGUGCAGCAUGCUAGGUUAGAAUUAUCUGUUUACCUUGGUAUGGAAAUUUGGAUUGGAUUGAAUAUUCUUCGUGUUGCUGUUGUGUGUCUACUUUGGGACUACGGGACAGUAUCCCGGGAGAUCCCCCUGCAUGUUUACUUUGGGACUACAGAUUUGUAUUCCGGGAGAUCCCCCUGCACUUUUAUAUUGGAACUACGGGACUGCACCCGGUAGAUUUACCCAGUACUAGGUAUUUAUAUUUGGGACUACGGAUCGGUAUUCCGGGAAAUCCUCGCGCACUAUGAGUUGGAGUACGAGACGGCACCCGGGAGGUCCACUGGAUAUUAAUAUUUGGGACUACAAGACAGUAUCCUGGGAGAUCCCCGAUUGUUAUCUCUGUGUUGAGCUGUAUUCCUUCUGUGAUUAUUUUAUCUCUGUUAUAGUUGUUAUUAUUCUUAUUAUCCUAUGUUACUUUAUACCGUUAACAUUUAUUUAUAUUGUCAUAUUCUAUACUGUUUUACCUCAUUUUUUUAGCUAUAAUCAGUAGGGCCCUGACCUUCCUCGUCACUACUUGACCAAGGUUAGGCUUGGCACUUACUGAGUACCGCUGUGGUGUACUCAUGCCCUUUCUGCGCAUGUUUUUCAUGUGCAGAUCCAGGUACUUCGACUUAGCCCUACUACCCUUGAGGCGAGGCGAUUCUCCAAAGAAUUCGAGGUAUAUCUGCUGCGUCCGCAGACCGAUGAGUCCCUUUCCAUUCUCACUUAUAUUAUUAGCCCUUCUGUAUUUACUUUUGUUUAGACAUUCUGGAGUUAGACACUUGUAGUUAUUCAACUGCUUGUGAUUUCAUGAGAUUCCGAGUUUUGGGAAGUUGUUCAAUUUGAGAGUUAUAUUGUAUAUGCCGAGCGGCAUCUUUAAACCUUCAUUAUGUUUAUUCCGCAGUUUUAUUUGUUUUAUCUGUUGUUUUCCCUUUUUUCUAAAAUUGUUAGGCUUACCUAGUCGUAGAGACUAGGUGCCGUCACGAUAGUUCACGGAGGGCGAACUGGGGAUGUGACAAGUUUGUAUCAGAGCUCUAGGUUCAUAGGAGUCAUGAAUCACAAGCCGGUUUAUUAGAGUCCACGGAUCGGUACAGAGACGUCUGUACUUAUCUACGAGAGGCUAUGUAACUGUUAGGAAAAUUCUACUUCAUUUGAUUUCCUUGUCGUGUGAGAUUUUUGAUAUCACAAUUCUAAACUUCUAUCUUCUAUUCUCUCACAGAUGGUAAGGACCCGUGCUACCAGAGAUGAUCAGGCACUCACGCCCCCUACUGGAGCCAUCAGAGGUUGGGGUCGGGGUAGAGGCCGAGGAUAUGCACAUGGUGCAGCAAGAGCACCCGCGCGAGCUGCUACCGAGGUGCCACCAGCAGUUCUAACCGGAAUCCAGGCACCUGAUACGCCUACUGCUACUACUACUCCAGCUCUUCAUUAGACUCUUGCACAGUUCAUGAGCAUGUACACCACUCUGGCUCAAGCAGGGUUGCUUCCCCUUGCUGCAGCUACAUCUCAGGCUGGGGGAGGAGCACAGACUCCCGCCGCUCGCACUCCUGAGCAGUGAGUACAUAUUGAUCAGGUCCCAGAGAUUAUUCCUGUACAUCCCGUAAGCCCAGACCAGCCCGAGGACAGGGCAAUGACUUCCGAAGAUGAGCAGCGGAGGCUUGAGAAGUUCAAGAAGUAUAAGCCUCCUGUAUUCAGUGGUCUAGCAUCAGAUGAUGCUCUGGGAUUUCUAGAUGAGUGCUACCGUAUCGUCCAUACCAUGGGUAUAUCAGGAUCGAGCGGGGUUUCCUUCACUACCUUCCAACUUCGAGGAGUUGCCUAUGAGUGGUGGCGUACCUAUGAGUUAGACAGUUCGGAUGAGGCAGCUUCCCUGACUUGGACUCAGUUUUCAGAUAUGUUCCUGAGAGAGUAUGUUCCUCAGAGCCUUAGGGACACAUGGUGCGCAGAGUUUGAGCAUUUGUGCCAGGGUACUAUGACUGUCUCGGAGUAUGCUGUCCGUUUCACUAGCUUGGCUAGACAUGCACCAGCCUUGGUUGCUACUGUUCGCGAGAGGGUUCGCCGGUUUAUUGAGGGGCUCAUUCCUAGCAUCAGGUCUAGCAUGGCUCGUGAGUUGGAGAUGGAUAUUUCUUAUCAGCAGGUGGUGAGCAUUGCUAGGAGAGUAGAGGGUAUGCAUGCUAGAGAUAGAGAUGAGAGGGAGGCCAAGAGGUCUUGAGAGUCGGGCUAUUAUUCUGGUGCCCGUGCUCCAGCUGCAGUUAGUCAUGGUAGGGGUUAUAUGAGUUUCCCCGUUCAUUCAGCUCUUCCAGCAGCCAGUGGUAUUCCAACUCCUCCUAGGCCUCAAAAACCUUAUUAUGCACCUCUAGUAUCGAGUGCGCCUCCUGCUUGGGGUGCUUUCAAUGGUGAGUCCAGCAGACCUGGCCCGAGCUAGUCAUAGCUGCCCCAUCCUCCCAGAUCUUGUUUUGAAUGUGGUGACACACGCCAUAUGGUGAGGGAUUACCCCAGACUUAGGAGAGGUGCACCUCCAUAGACUUCUCAGCCACAACGUGCCCCGCAGAGUUCUCAGGCUAUGGUUACAACACCAGUUGCUACCCCACCUGCUCAGCCAGCUAGAGGUAGAGGUUGGGGAGGUAAAGGUUGCCCUAGAGGGGGAGGCUAGGCCAGAUAUUAUGCCCUUCCUGCCCGUACCGAGGCUGUCGCCUCCGAUUCUGUCAUCACAAGUAUUGUCCUGGUUUGCCAUAGAGAUGCAUCGGUUUUAUUUGAUUCAGACUCCACUUAUUCUUAUGUAUCUUCUUAUUUUGCCCCGCAUUUGGGUGUAUCUCAGGAUUCUUUGAGUUCCCCUAUUUAUGUUUCUACUCAUGUGGGAGAUUCUCUUGUUGUGGACUGCGUUUAUCGGUCGUGUGUGGUUGAUCUUAGUGGUUUUGAGACCAGAGUCAAUUUUUUUAUUGCUUAGCAUGGUAGAUUUUGAUGUUAUCUUUGGCAUAGACUAGUUGUUGCCCCAUUAUACUAUUCUUGAUUGUCACGCCAAAAAUGUGACACUGGCUAUGCCAGGUGUACCACGAGUAGAGUGUAGGGGUACCUUAGAUCAUACUUCUAGUAGAGUUAUUUCAUUCCUUAACGCUCAGCGUAUGGUUGAGAAGGGGUGUGACGCGUAUCUAGCUUAUGUGAGAGAUGUUAGUAUUGAUACCCCUACAGUUGAUUCAGUCCUAGUAGUACAGGAUUUUUUUGAUGUGUUUCCAGCUGAUCUUCCGAGCACGCCGCCCAAUAGAGAUAUUGAUUUUGGCAUUGAUCUGUUGCCGGGAACUCAGCCCAUUUAUAUUCCUCCAUAUCGUAUGGCCCCUCCUGAGUUGAAGGAGUUGAAGGAUCAUCUGCAGGAAUUGCUUGAUAAGGGUUUUAUUCGGCCUAGUGUAUCAGCUUGGGGUGCUCUUGUCUUGUUUAUGAAGAACAAGGAUGGUUCUAUGCGUAUGUGCAUUGAUUAUCGUCAGUUGAACAAAUUUACAGUGAAGAACCGUUAUCCUUUGCCUCAUAUUGAUGAUUUGUUUGACCAGCUACAUGGUGCACGAGUGUUUUCUAAGAUUGACUUGCGUUCAGGUUACCAUCAGUUGAAGAUUCGGGAGCCAAAUAUCCCGAAUACUGCUUUCAGGACUCGGUAUGGUCAUUAUAAGUUUCUUGUUAUAUCAUUUGGGCUGACCAAUGCCCCAACAACCUUUAUGCAUCUGAUGCACAAUGUGUUCCGGCCAUAUCUUGACUUUUUCGUCAUUGUCUUUAUUGAUAAUAUUCUGGUGUAUUCCCGGAGUUGGGAGGAUCAUGAGCAGCACCUGAGGACAGUGCUUCAGACUUUGAGAGAAAAGAAGUUAUAUGAAAAGUUCUCAAAAUAUGAGUUUUGGUUAGAUUCCGUGGCAUUCUUGGGCCACGUGGUAUCGAGUGAGGGUAUUCAGGUAGAUCCGAAGAAAGUGGAAGCAGUGCAGAGUUGGCCCAGACCAUCCUCAGCUACAGAGAUCCGCAAUUUUCUUGGCUUGGCGGGUUAUUACCGUCGAUUUAUUGAGGGGUUUUCAUCUAUUGCAGCACUUAUGACCAGGCUGACCCAGAAAAGUUCUCCGUUUCAGUGGACGGAAGAGUGUGAGGCGAGCUUCCAGAAGCUCAAGACAGCUUUGACUACAACCCCAGUUUUGAUUUUGCCUACAGGUUCGAGGUCUUAUACUGUCUAUUGCGAUGCCUUGAGGAUUGGCCUUGGAGCAGUAUUGAUGCAGGACGAUAAGGUGAUUGCCUACGCAUCCAGACAGUUGAAAGUACAUGAGAAGAACUAUCCUGUCCAUGAUCUCGAGUUAGUAGCUAUUGUUCACGCCUUGAAGAUCUAACGUCUUAUUUGUACGUCAUGCCUUGUGAGAUUUAUACUGAUCACCGGAGUUUGCAGCAUCUGUUCAAGCAGAAGGACCUUAAUUUGCGCUAGAGGAGGUGGUUAAAGCUACUGAAGGACUAUGAUAUCACUAUUUUGUAUCACCCGAGCAAGGCCAAUGUGGUGGCCGAUGCUUUGAGUCGCCAGGCGGAGAGUUUGGGGAGUUUAGCUUAUUCACCAGCAGCGGAGAAGCCCAUGGCGUUGGAUGUUCAGGCCUUAGCCAGCCAGUUUGUGAGAUUGGAUCUUUCAGAGCCCAGUCGGGUUCUAGCUUGCGUGAUUUCUCAGUCUUCCUUAUUUGAUCGUAUCAGAGAGCGCCAGUUUGAUGACUCUCAUUUUCUUGUCCUCAAGAACAAGUUUCUGCACGGUGAUACCAUAGAUGUGACUAUUGGUGAUGACGGGGUAUUGAGGAUGCAGGGUUGGGUAUAUGUACGCAAUGUUGAUGGUCUUCGGGAGUUGGUUCUAGAGGAGGCCCAUAGUUCGCGGUAUUCCAUUCAUCCGGGUGCCGCAAAGAUGUACCAAAAUUUGAGGCAGCACUAUUGGUGAAGGCGGAUAAAGAAAGAUAUAGUUGGGUUUGUAGCUUAGUACCUCAAUUAUCAGCAGGUGAAGUAUGAGCACCAAAUACCGGGUGGGUUGCUUCAGCAGAUAGAGAUUUUGGAGUGGAAGUGGGAGGAUCACCAUGGACUUUAUAGUUAGACUCCCACAGACUUUGCGGAAGUUCGAUGCCAUUUGGGUGAUUGUGGAUCGACUAACCAAGUCCGCACACUUCAUUCCUGUGUGUACUACCUAUUCUUCGGAGCGAUUGGCGGAGAUUUAUAUCUGGGAGAUUGUUCGUCUGCAUGGUAUUCCAGUUUCCAUCAUUUUAGAUAGAGGUACUCAGUUCACAUCACGGUUCUGGAGGGCCGUAUAGCAUGAGUUGGGUACUCGGGUGGAGUUGAGUACAACAUUUCACCCUCAGACGGAUAGAUAGUCCGAGCACACUAUUUAGAUUCUUGAGGAUAUUCUCCGUGCGUGAGUGAUAGAGUUUGGAAGGUCUUGGGAUCAGUUCUUGCCAUUGGCGGAGUUUGCCUACAACAACAGCUAUCAGUCCAACAUUCAGAUGGCACCGUACGAGGCUUUAUAUGGUAGGCGGUAUAGAUCCCCGGUGGGAUGGUUUGAGAUGGAUGAGGCUAGAUUAUUGGGAACAGACUUGGUUCAGGAUGUUUUGGAGAAGGUUAAGGUGAUUCAGGAUAGACUCCGCACAGCUUAGUCCAGACAGAAAAGUUACGCGGACCGGAAGGUUCGUGAUAUUUUCUAUAUGGUUGGAGAGUGGGUUCUGCUUUGGGUUUCGCCUAUGAAGGGCGUUAUGAGAUUUGGGAAGAAAGGGAAGUUGAGUCCGAGGUUUAUUGGUCCUUUUGAGAUAUUGAGACNNNNNNNNNNNNNNNNNNNNNNNNNNNNNNNNNNNNNNNNNNNNNNNNNNNNNNNNNNNNNNNNNNNNNNNNNNNNNNNNNNNNNNNNNNNNNNNNNNNNNNNNNNNNNNNNNNNNNNNNNNNNNNNNNNNNNNNNNNNNNNNNNNNNNNNNNNNNNNNNNNNNNNNNNNNNNNNNNNNNNNNNNNNNNNNNNNNNNNNNNNNNNNNNNNNNNNNNUUAUGGUGAUCCGUCGCACGUGUUGGAUUUCAGUUCAGUCUAGUUGGACAAGGAUAUAUCUUAUGUUGAGGAGCCGGUGGCGAUAUUGGACAGGCAAGUUCGAAAGAUGAGGUCAAAGAACAUUGCAUUAGUGAAGGUUCAAUGGCGGGGUCAGCCGGUCGAGGAGGCGACCUAGGAGACCGAACAGGAUAUGUGCAUCCGUUACCCUCAUCUUUUCACUACUUCAGGUAUGUCUCUAUGCUCAUUCGAGAAGAAACGAAUGUUUAAGUAUAGGAGGAUGUAAUGACCCGGUCGGUUGUUUUAAGAAUUAAUGUCUCGAUCCCCUAUUAAUUGUAUUCCCCGUGUUUUAUUCUGCUAUUGUAAGCUGAAAGGAGGAUUUAUUUGGAAUAUCGGAGAGUUUUGGGACACUUAGUUCCUAAAUAAAAGUUUAAGUUUUAGAAUUCGGACCAUAGUCGAAAUAGUGUGAAGACGGCCUCAGAAUGGAAUUUCGUUGGUUUCGUUAGCUCCGAUGGGUGAUUUCGGGCUUAGGGGCAUGUUCAGAUUGUGUUUUAAAGGUCCGUAGCUUAAUUAGGCUUGAAAUGCCGAAAGUUGAAUUUUUGAUGUUUCUGGUUUGAUAGUGAGAUUUUGAUCUAGGGGUCAAAAUGGAAUGAGAGUUGGAGUAGCUCCAUAGUGUUGAGUGUGACGUGUGUGCAAAAUUUCAGGUCAUUCUGACGAGGUUUGAUAGACUUUUUGAUCAAAAGUGGAAUUCGGAAGAUUCUUGGAACCUUAGGCUUGAAUCCGAUGUUAAUUGGUUGAUUCGAUAUUAUUUGAGGUGUUUGAAGAUUUGUAUAAGUUUGGAUAGUGGUAUAUGACUUGUUCGUGCUUUUGGUUGAGGUCCCGGGAGCCUCGGGGUGAUUUCGGAUGGUUAACGAAAAGUUUGGAGUUGGGAAUUUGCUGCUGAAGCUGCUGAGUUUUUCUGUCAUAACCGCACCUGUGGUUAGGGGGCCGUAGGUGCAAUGACCGCAAAAGCGAGAUUCAAGCCGCAGAUGCGGCCACAGGUGAAGGCAGCAGAAGACGCAUAGCGGGAGGUGUGCCACACCUGCGGGACCGCAAAUACGAAGCCUGGGUCGCAGGUGCGGAGAAGGGGACUUAAGUGAAAACCGCAGAAGCGGUGCCCUUGAUCGUAGGAGCGGUAGCGCAGAAGCAGAAACUGAUCGCAAGUGCGAAAAACCUGGGUCAGAAAGUAUAAAAAGAUUUCCUUCGCGAAUUUGGGUUAUUUUUCAUAAUAUUUCAACGGGAAGAAGCUUUGGAAAGCAAAUUUCAAGGGAGAUUUUCAGAGGUAUUCAUUGAGGUAAGGUCCUUGGUUCCUAAGCUCGUUAUUAUGGUGAAUUCUAUCGUUGUUAGCAUGAAAUUUAAGGGAGAAAUUAGUGGUAAAUUGGGGGUUAAGGCUUAGUUAAUUGGAGAGCUUUAAGUGGUAAUUUGAGAGACCAUUUGGGGUAUGAUUUUGGUACUUUUGGUAUGACUGAAAUCGUGAGAGUGUGAGGAUUCGGAAUUUGUAAAUUUUAUCCGAUUCCGAGAAGUGGGCCCGAGGAGCGUUUUGGUCAUUUUCUUAAUUUCGCAUAUUAGCUUAGAAUUAAUUAGUGGAUUCAGUUACUUGAAUUAUAUUUACAUUAUGCAAUUGAUUUGAAUAGAUUUGGGCCAUAUGGAGUGGAGUAGUCGUGGCAAGAGCAUGAUUUCAGGUUGAUUUUUGAGCCGAUUCGAGGUAAGUGGCUUGCAUAACCUUGUGGGGGGAACUCCCCUUAGGAUCUGUUAUUGUUGAUAUAUGAAAUGCCUUGUAUGUGAGGUGACAAGUGCGUACAUUUGUUACUUGUUGAAAAUCCUGUUUUCAUUAAGUAACUAUAACUGAGCUUUCUUUCUUGUUUAUGCUACCUGCAAUUUAAUCCUACUGUUAGCUUAGGGAAGCAUGUCUAAUUGACUUAAUUGCCUUAAUUGCUUAAACUGAUUUAUUUGAAUUCUGUGCAGUAUGCUAGGUUAGAAUUAUCUGUUUACCUUGGUAUGGAAAUUUGGACUGAAUUGAAUAUUCUUCGGGUUGUUGCUGUGUGUCUACUUUGGGACUACGAGACGGUAUCCAUGGAGAUCCCCCUGCAUGUUUACUUUGGGACUACAGAUUUGUAUUCCGGGAGAUCCCCUCUCACUUUUGUAUUGGAACUAUGGUACUGCACCCGGUAGAUUCCCCUAGUACUGGGUAUUUACAUUUCGGACUAUGGAUCGGUAUUCCGGGAGAUUCCCGCGCACUAUGAGUUAGACUACAGGACGACACCUAGGAGAUCCACUGGAUAUUUACAUUUGGGACUACAGGACGGUAUCCUGGGAGAUCCUCGGUUAUUAUCUCUGUGUUGAGCUGUAUUCCUUCUAUGAUUAUUUUGUCUCUGUUAUAGUUGUUGUUAUUCUUAUUAUCCUAUGUUACUUCAUACUGUUAACAUUUAUUUAUAUUGUCAUAUUCUAUACUGUUUUACCUCGUUUUCAGCUAUAAUCAGUAGGGCCCUGACCUUCCUCGUCACUACUCGACCGAGGUUAGGCUUGACACUUACUGAGUACUGCUGUGAUCUACUCAUGCCCUUUCUGCGCAUGUUUUUCAUGUGCAGAUCUAGGUACUUCGACUUAGCCCUACUACCCUUGAGGUGAGGCGAUUCUCCAGAGACUUCGAGGUAUAUUUGCCGCGUCCGCAGACCGAGGAGUCCCUUUCCAUUCUCGCUUAUAGUAUUAGCCCUUAUGUAUUUACUUUUUUUUAGACAUUCUGGAGUUAGACACUUGUAGUUAUUCAACAGCUUGUGAUUUCAUGAGAUUCCAGGUUUUGGAAAGUUGUUCAGUUUGAGAGUUAUAUUGUAUAUGCCGAGCGGCAUCUUUAAACCUUCAUUAUGUUUAUUCCACAUUUUUAUUUGUUUUAUCUGUUGUUUUCCCUUUUUUCUGAAAUUGUUAGGCUUACCUAGUCGUAGAGACUAGGUGCCGUCACGAUAGUUCACGGAGGGCGAAUUGGGAUCGUGACACGUGACUGUGCCACAGGAACUGUACCCAUAAUCACAAUGAUUUAUUUAAUUAACACACCUAAAGCAAACUAUGAAUAUUUAUCAAUUUGUUUAUUUUGUAUCAAUUUGAAAUGAUCUGUAAGGUCCAAAGGUUCAUGAAAUUAAUUGGAAGGAUGUUCAUAAGUUGCCAGCAAGACCAAUAGCUGGCACUUACUAGUUAGUGAUCCUGUUUUAAGACUUAUCAAAAAAGGGCUAAAUCUCUUUGUUUAUUUCUGAUACAUUCUUUGUUAAUUACAUUAAAUAAUUAAGAACAAAUCAUACCCCUUUUACAAGUCUAACUACUGUGGAAAUCUUCCAAGUAAAUGAAACUCCAAUCAUAUUAAUUCAUAAUCACGUUCUUUUCAACUGAAACAAAAUUCGAAUAAAAUGAAAAAAGAAGCAAUUGCAACCAUAGGCAUUGGAAGAACAUCCACCUUCGAACAUAUAGAAUGCCAGCACAGAAAAUCCAUCCAAAUACUCUUAAAUUUAACAGAUCUAAGGAGUUACCGAACAUCUCAAAACUAAGUAAGAGAAAACAAUAUCAGAUAUAAGAUAGAAUAGUAGAAGGUUCAUCAUUUACACACUACAAAACUGUGUAUCGAUUUCUCGCCGUGAUUUACAAAUUUGAUAAAACAAAAAAAGGGCGAUUUCAAAACUGAUCAUCACUAACUUCAUUAAUUUGGCAAACCAAUCAUUUCCUCAAACACAUAUAUGUUUCACAUCCAAUUUACAGUUCAGAGAAGAGAAGAGUACCUGGUUAUGGAAGAACCGAUUUAAAGGGUUGAAACUUAGCAACCAGCAAAGUCCAAAUCAGUAAGCAAGCAACUCAUUUACAACUUCUAAUAACCUUGAAAACCCCAUAGAUUAUGAAGAAAAAAGGCUGAAAUGUUGAAUCGGCUAUAUGAUUUUAACUUCGAAAUUUGAUUGUUUCUUUCUAAGAAAAUAGACGAGCACCGGCCAU